UGGCGAACGGGUGAGUAACACGUGAGUAACCUGCCCUUGACUUUGGGAUAACUUCAGGAAACUGGGGCUAAUACCGGAUAGGGAGCUCCUGCUGCAUGGUGGGGGUUGGAAAGUUUCGGCGGUUUGGGGAUGGACUCGCGGCUUAUCAGCUAGUUGGUGGGGUAAUGGCUCACCAAGGCAAUGAUCCGUAGCGGGUCUGAGAGGACGAUCCGCCACACUGGGACUGAGACACGGCCCAG
This 239-nucleotide ribosomal RNA is filed under the name uncultured Actinomycetales bacterium. RNAcentral's name for it is "partial 16S ribosomal RNA". It matches the Rfam family "Bacterial small subunit ribosomal RNA", at positions 96 to 334 of the family's 1533-position model. Lineage: Bacteria; Bacillati; Actinomycetota; Actinomycetes; Actinomycetales. The record is from RNAcentral.